Molecule: ribosomal RNA, 480 nt
Filed under: uncultured bacterium
Lineage: Bacteria
Description: bacterial SSU rRNA
Rfam family: Bacterial small subunit ribosomal RNA
Source: RNAcentral
GCUUGUUGGUGGGGUAAUGGCCUACCAAGGCGAUGAUCAAUAGCUGGUCUGAGAGGAUGAUCAGCCACACUGGGACUGAGACACGGCCCAGACUCCUACGGGAGGCAGCAGUGGGGAAUAUUGGACAAUGGGGGCAACCCUGAUCCAGCAAUGCCGCGUGUGUGAAGAAGGUUUUCGGAUUGUAAAGCACUUUCGACGGGGACGAUGAUGACGGUACCCGUAGAAGAAGCCCCGGCUAACUUCGUGCCAGCAGCCGCGGUAAUACGAAGGGGGCUAGCGUUGCUCGGAAUGACUGGGCGUAAAGGGCGUGUAGGCGGUUUGUACAGUCAGAUGUGAAAUCCCCGGGCUUAACCUGGGAGCUGCAUUUGAUACGUGCAGACUAGAGUGUGAGAGAGGGUUGUGGAAUUCCCAGUGUAGAGGUGAAAUUCGUAGAUAUUGGGAAGAACACCGGUGGCGAAGGCGGCAACCUGGCUCAUAACU